This is a non-coding RNA of Misgurnus anguillicaudatus (oriental weatherfish), 2458 nucleotides long. NCBI's taxonomy places the organism in Eukaryota, Metazoa, Chordata, Actinopteri, Cypriniformes, Cobitidae. The record is from RefSeq and is a predicted model, not a curated record.
UUAGCAUAUAUGUGACACCAUCAUGUCGUGUUUGCGUUUGAUCUAGUGUUGGCACCUGAAAUAUGUUUCACUUCUACUCUUUGAUCUGUAUUUGUAUUUGAUCUGUAUUAUAUAUCAAAUUAUAUUUUAAGCCGAAUUAAGCUGUUUUAAAUAGUGAAAUAAAAAUGUAAAUGGGAAUCAUGAAAAUUCUAUUUGUGGGGGCCAGUGUUGAUUCUGUGGUGGGCCACCACAAAUAAAUAAAUGUAUGGGAAACACUGUACUAUGCGGUAGGUUACCGGUUUUAAGGUAUACCGAGGUUUUAAACAGUCAAGGUUACAAAACCACUAAAAUGGUCUGUGAUACCGUCUCCAAGGUAUGAACUGUAUUUAUACAAAAUUCAUUAAAUCAUUAAGUCAUGUGAUUGAUUUGAUGUUUACAUGUUAUAUACAUUUUGAAAAUAUUAUAUAUAAUAUAAUUUAAAGGCUUUAUUUUUACCUGGCAUUUAAAAAUAACAAAUUUUAGUGUAGCAAUGGCAAUACAGCAAAACUGUAAAACCGUGGUAUUUUUGCUAAAGGUAAUCAUACCGCCAGAAUCUUAUACCGGCCCAUGCCUACUAAGCGGUUGUACCAAGUGUUAGAAACAUCAAGAUUCUCAAAUUUUUAGGGCUAGCGCAAUACCACAGUUUUGGCUAUUCUUCAUGUUCUCUAGGGCAGUUAUUUUGCACCAGUGACAGAAACAGUGACCAAAUAAUUCAUUACCUUAUCUACAUGUGAAGGAAGAUUUUUGGCCUGCACUUUCACAGCUGAUAUUAUAAAAAUCAGCUUAUGACAUUAACAUGUUUCAAGCGUUUUAAUUUACUUUUAUUUGUGAAGUUUAUCUAUCACAUGUGGAGACAUACGCACAUACGAAACGGCAAAAAAGACGCUAAAAUCUGGGUUAAGAGCAAAAAACUACCUGCGCCAAUCAGUUUUUGCCAUUUAUGGGCUUUACCCUAUAAAAGAAAACCGUUUUAUGCAUUUAAAUGACCUUACACGUUAUCAGUUUAUUAAGCGUUUAGACUAUGUAGACACAAUGUGCACUAAGAUAAAAAAAUUGGUUAACACGACCACUUGUGGUGGCUUCACUCAGAGGUUGGAGAAGACAACCGGUGGACUAAACAUCAAGCCUCUGCACGAUUCAGGUAAGUGGAAUAAAAUACAUUGUAAAUAAACAUUAUUAAAACAGAUUGUAAAGUCAUUCAUUCAAAACUUGCUAUGACCUAAGCCUAAAUGACUUAAUUUCUUUUUAGAAUUAAGACAACCUUAGCAGGAGAGCCCCAGCAGUAACUUUCUCUCAAGCAGAUGAACAAUAAGUUGCUUUGUAUGAACACCACCCUAACAAUCAAGUUUUCUACAGUAGUCUGUUAACAGUAGACCAAAGGUAUGAUGAUCAAUUUUAAAUGCAAUAUGGUUGAAAGGUCAGUAAACAAACAACAAAAAGGUAAUUUCUUAAUAGAAUGUCUGUACAUUUUUUGCUUUUGUUACAUAUUUCAUACAUCAAAAUCCUUAAACGUUAAUAAUUAUGUAUUCCAACUUGUUGCAGCUUGACAAAAAUGUAGCUUGAAGGAGAAGGGACAGCUGAGAAACAAAGUCCUGGUACGCAGACGACAAUACUAUAACACUGACAAGAGUAUAAUGAUGAUGGAGACGGAGACACAAGCCAGAGAAAGGGUGGACCAAACACCAGGCCAGAAUUCUGCAUGAGUCAGAUCCAGUGGGUGCAGAUCAUCAUACAGAUGGUUCAAGUGUGGAUCCACCUAAUAUUCAAGGUUUUCUGUCCUGGGACACUCGGCUAACCAUCAAGAAAGAACACACUCCAGUGGGCAUCCUUUAUCCAUCCAGACCCUCAUACAGAUGGUUGGAGUUUUGAUUCUCCUAAAGUACCAUGCAAGAGCACUCAUUUUCCCUCUUGAGACCAUGGUGUGACCUGCAAGGUCGAAUGGAGACUGUAAACGAGACAAUCUUGGAGUCACCUGCAUUCACUGGUCCAGUUAGUCCAAUUACAGAUGGAGAGUAUAGAAGAGGAUGAUGUCUUUUCUCCAACAUCUUUCUAGACUGAUAAAAGAUCUAGACAGGCUUGAACAAAAGUUAACAGAGGGGCUUAUAUAGAGAAUGGUGAGCAGCUACACAUAAAAGAAGAACAUGGAGAAUCUGCCCAGAGGUGUUAACCAGCAAUGCAGCUAUACAACUAAAUUGAUGCAGGCGGAAACAAUGUGUAAUGCAGCUGCUGCAGAAGAAGAAUCCGUCCGUCUACCACUGAAGGAGACGCGGAAAUUCCUUCCAAGAUGUUCUUUGCCCGAGGAAGCAUUUGAUUAAUUUAAAGAUAUUGUGUUUCUUUGUAUGUUAUAGAAAAACGUUGCUUUUUUUGCAUACACUCGUGUAAAUAUGCAUGUUAUGAAUGUUUUUCUUUUGUCUAAUUUAAAUAAAUUUUACGCAAUCAA